This is an RNA transcript of Triticum aestivum (bread wheat), 2590 nucleotides long. It is a transcript of the gene named vegetative cell wall protein gp1, with no coding region annotated. The record is from RefSeq and is a predicted model, not a curated record. NCBI's taxonomy places the organism in Eukaryota, Viridiplantae, Streptophyta, Magnoliopsida, Poales, Poaceae. The transcript is spliced from 4 exons.
CUCCCUCGUCCCCUCUCUCGCCGCCGCACCCAAACCCUAACUCCACUCCUCUCCCCCGAUCGAGAUGCACUCCUCACAGCCGCCCGCCGUGAGCGAUUCAGCCGAUGCCGCCGCCAGCGCCCGCGCGCCACCACCCGCUCCUCCUCUCCUACCAGAUCGAGCCGCCACCUCCCUCCCCAUCCCCGCGCGCUACCAUCCGCUCCUCCUCUUCUGCCCGCGCACGCACAGCCUUGGCUCCUGCUGCUCUUCCCGAUUGAGGAGGGGGAGGAGAGCGAGAGGGGUAGCAUGGUGGCCAGCGAGGGGAGCACCAUCACGGGAGCCGCGUCCUCCCGGUCCACGGCCACGUCUUCUGCGACCGCGAUGGGCAGGGUCAACAACCUCGACCUCAAGGGCGUCGGCCUCGUCGGCGCCCUGCCCCCCACCUUCUCCUCCCUCGACGUGCUGCAGGACCUCAGCCUCUAGACCAACGCGCUCUCCGGCCCGCUCCCCUCCUUCCGCGGCAUGGCGGCCCUCCGCCACGCCUACCUCAACGACAACGCCUUCUCCUCCCUCCCCAAGGACUUCUUCGACGGCCUCGACAGCCUCGAGGAGAUCUGCCUCGACAACAACCCGCUCCUGCCAAUCCAUCUCUGUUGUUCUUCUUCUACCUCUGCCUCGACCCCUCCUCCCCUUGUAUUCUUCUUCUACCUCUGUUGUUCUUCCUUUCCACAUCACAUCUCAAGUGGUCGUGUGUAGGCACUGUACAUCCAUAUCAUCUCCUUGCAUGGUGAAGGUGACCAGGCCAUGGAGAGAAAAGCUCCUGCCAAUCGCGGACGGUGCAGAUCGACAUCGUGAAGGACGGAAACAUAUCAGGUCACCUAUGUAUGCGAGAGGUUUGUAUGCUUCAGUUGCUGUAAACCGAAGAUUCUGCAAAAAUAUGACAUGUCGUCUUAAUGUUUAUGACAUGUGUUUUGAUACUGUAUACGUCGUCUUAAUGUGUUUGCUGCCGAUAUUCAGAGAAGAAUAGUGAUGACAGUAUAUCUAGAGUGUUUGUGAUAGUUAAACAUGUUUGUUCUUUUUUUGACAAGGUGAGUAUCCAGCAAGUACAUGCUCACCAGACAACCCUAGGUUUGAAUUCCUUGAGUAAAAGAGAACUACUGAAUUGCUUGAGGUUUGAAUUGCUCUUGUACAUUGCCUGAGUUAUCACAAAACUUGCUCCUGUUAAUUAUUCAGAGUAGCUGAUCUGGUGCAAGCUGAUGCAAGCUAAUUUUGGAGUAGAACACUUCAAGUAAAGAAUGUGAACUUAAUGGAGUAGCUGAUGCAAGCUGAUUAGUAGUAGAACACUUUAAAGUAUCAAGUUUCUGGAGUUCCUGUAGUAGUCGUACUGUCAAUUUCUUGUCAACUUGCUACUCCUGUCAAUUUCAUGUAGUUCCUGGAGUAGAGUAGUGUGCCACUCUUGUUUGCUUGCAGGAGUAAUUAAAUGAAACAUUUUCAGUUAAUUAAAAUUUGGUGUAAACUGCUUGCUUGCAUCAGUAGCGCACUACUCUUCUUGUUUGCACCACACACGCACGCACACACUUGUUUGGAGUAGGUUGGAAUUAACUGAAACUCUUUUCAAACUAAAUGAAUCUUUUCAAAUGAUCAUUUGAUCAAAGAUCAAAUUAUCAAAUGAAAAUAUUCAGUUAACUUUGACUGAAAAUAUCUAGGUACUGAAUAUUUCCAUUUAAUCAUUCAUUUUUGUGCUUGCAUGCUGGAUUUAUUCUUGUAUGCUGGAAUUUUGGUGUAGCAGUAAAGUUUGCAAGCAUGGAGUAGUAUGCUUGUAUGCUGGAAUACACAGUAACAGAAGUAGCAUCAAGUGUACACAUAGUACACACUUGUGCACAAGUGUACUCUAGAGAUGUAGCAUCAAGUGUACUCCAGGAGUAUUAUCCUGUUAAAAAAUCGUGUUUAAAUUUACAUGGUGCACAUUUAAAUUCUUUUUUAAAAAUACUCAUGUGUACUCCAACAAGAUCUACUCCAGGAGUAUACACUACAGGAUCACCAUCUUGAUCUACUCCAACAAGAUCAAGAUCAAGAGUUUAUCAAUGCAACAGCUUCUUGGAGUACUCAUUGCCUGCUUCUUGACCGGGAUUGAUACCAUUGUUGUAGUAGUUGACUUUGUGGUUCUUGGUUCAGGCUCCUAGAACACGUGUGGUGUACCUCAGAGCUGCCUUUGGAACAACCAUGUCUCAUGUGUCUGACAUUGUUGGACCGACUGGGUUGGUGUAUGCCGUUGAGUUCUCUCACCGGAGUGGUAGGGAUCUUGUCAACAUGGCCAAGAAGAGGACCAAUGUCAUCCCCAUCACUGAGGAUGCAAGGCACCCGACAAAGUAACGGAUGCUGGUCGACAUGGCUCAAGUUGUACCAGAUCAAGGAGCUCUGGGCUGAAGAAUUUUGAAGAAGCUUGAAGCCCGACAAAGUAAAGAGUAGAAAGUAAUAAUGUAGUGGUAGUUAUGUUGUACAGUAGCCAGCAUAUCUGGUUGUAUGAACACUAUUGUAAAUACUGUAAUUUCGUAUUUGUACAAUAGUCAGCAUAUUUGGUGCUAAUAUUGGCUAUCAUUUUACAGUUUCA